This is a long non-coding RNA of Neofelis nebulosa (Clouded leopard), 4923 nucleotides long. RefSeq lists it as uncharacterized. The transcript is spliced from 3 exons. Lineage: Eukaryota; Metazoa; Chordata; Mammalia; Carnivora; Felidae. The record is from RefSeq and is a predicted model, not a curated record.
GCCCCGCCCCCUCCGUCUCAUUGGUAAAGACGCAACACAUCCUUCGAGACGCAGGAGCGCGCACCGUCGCGAUGACGUCACCUGCGCGCUCUCAGGUCUGGCCAAAAGGAACUUGCACCAGCUAGAUCAAAAUAGCGGCUUUUAUUUCACAUUCCUCAAUACACAGUUCAUCGAAGUAUCCUCAGGAUCUGCAUGUGGAGUAUAGAUACUAAGUGUAAUCAAGGACAACUCCAAGGUUCUUAGUCCAAGAACUGGAAGGUCGAAGCUGAUAUUUACUGAAAUGGAGAACUCUGCAAGAGCAGGUUUGGGAGCAAGGAAGCCUUGGAAUUCAGUUCUGGAUAUAUGAAUUUGAGUUGCUAUAUCAGGCUCUUUAGAGUAAGUUUGUUGCAGUAAAUAACUCCAAAAAUCUUAGUGCCUUAAAACAAAAAAGUUUAUUUCUUGCUCACCUGUGUGUCUGCUGCAUGUUGACUCUGGCUGUGUUGACUUCAUCCCAUGACCCAGGCUGAAGGAGCAGAGAUGGUUCUGAUUUUAGAACAGAGGGAAGAAAGCACAGUGGAGCCACAUCAUGGCCCUUAAGGCUUCUUCUAAGGCUGGCACAAGUCACUUCUACUCAUAUGUCAUUGAUCAAAGUAAGUCACGUGGCCAACUCUGACAUCAAGGUUAAGUAUAAUUCUAGGACUGUAAAAAGCAGAAGGCAAAAAAUAUUUCAAAUAAUAAUAUAGUACACUGCAGAUGCCUAUUUGACAUUUAAGUGGCAAUGUCACUAGGUAGUUGGAUGUAUGAAUCUGAAGGUCAGGAGAGAAAUCCAGGCUGCAUAUACGAAUUUUAGAAUCUUUAGCAUGUAAUAUUUACAUUCCUGAAGUUAGAAGAGAUCACCAAAGGAGUAAGUAUAAGUAGAGAAAAGUUCAGAGGACUGAGCCAGGGGCACUCUGGCAAUUUAGAAAUCAGAAAAGUGAGAAAUAAUCAACCAUGACUGAGAAAGAGUGGCCCUGGAGUCAGUGGUGUGCUGGAGGUAAAGCAAAGAUGAUCUCGGGUAAGAGGGGGUGAUGAGCUCUGUCAAAGCCUGCUGAUAGGAUACAAAGAGGACUGGCAGUUGAGUGGAAGUUGUUGUAAAGCUGAGAAAAGCAGUUUUACUGCUGGGGUUGGGGAAGAAGCCUCAUUCUAGUGGGUUUAAGAGAGAAUGGUAGUAAAUGAAGUAAAGCAAGGAGCAAAUGUGAACAGACCAAACAGAUUAUUCACAGGAAGACAAAAGAAGUUACUGAAAGAAUGCCAAAGACACAGCUACACUGGUAAAGAUCAGAGAAGCAGAGAUGCUGGAGUUCUGAGUACAGGAGCAGAGUGGCUGUUCCAACUCAAAUACACAUCAUUUAAGUGCAUCUACUCAGGUGUCUCCAUUCCUCACCACCAGAGGAAGCUACAUCAACCCACCACCCUUUCCCGAUCAAUUAACUCCACCUUUAUUACAUUUAAAAGUUUCUUUCCUUGUACAUCUUCUCUGAACCCCUGGUCUUGGAGUGCCCCAGAUUUUACUCCUUGCUCUUCUUGUCUAUCUGCAUUCACUUCCUUGAUCUUAUCCAGUCUCAAAGCUUGAAACAUCUAUAUGCCAUGACUCCCACAUUUCUAACUUUAUUCAUCCUUUUCUUCAAAUCACAAUCCAACUGCAUACUUGGUAUUUCCAUUUGGGUGUCCAAUAGAUUGAACUGCUGCUGAUAACCCUACUAUAAACCUUAUUCACAGACCUCUGACUUCGGCUGAUGGCAUUCUGAGCCUUCCACUUCUAGAUUCUGUGACUCCUCUGCUCAAAACCUCCAAUCCCAUAGGCAGAAUGAUUAAGAAACUUGCCCAGUGUCAUCCCAUUAAUCAGUGACAGAGGUGAGACCCCAACUCAAGCAGCUUGAUGGGAACCUGUGCUCUGCACCACAGUACUUUGACACAUGCACACGCUCAGUAGGUUACACGAUGUUACGUCUAGUAUGAGUCCCUGUUAUAUAGACAUAUGGAUUUGUAAGAAAAUGUGAAAAGGAUAUAUACCAAUAUAUUUGCACUGUGAUCUUGGGAUGGAUAAGUUAUGGUUUGAUGUUUUUCCUUGAUUUUGUUUAUGUGUAUUUUUUACAUCUUCAACAAUGAAAAUAUAUUACAUUUACCACAAGGAAAAUAUCCUUACAGAUUUUUUUUUUAAUUCAGGAUUCCAGAUGAACUUCAUUCCCUUUAAUCAUUCUGUUUAAUAAAUAAACAUCUCAUUCCAUAAAUUUUUGAGUUGCUCAACCCCGAUACCAGAAAGUACAGGACAUUUUCAGGCAAAUUUUGUUCGUAUUUUUGGCAGAGAUGGACUAUAGAACUGGUACAACUAUACAUCGGAUACAGUAUAGCGUGUCUCUUCCCUUUUCAGUGAGAUAGGGAGAGUGUGUGGGUGGAUUUAUCUUAAGCUCACACUGUGUCUCCACAGUAGACACCCUUCUCCACAUCCUAAAUAGAAAUUUCCUAAACAUAAAUACAAAGACCUUCCCUGGCUUCUAUUUUGUAAAUGGAGAUAACUUUUUGCUAUUUCACCAGUGUCUCAAGAAUAUUUGAUUUUUCUUUUCUUUUAAUUUUUUAAAAAUAUUUAUUUUUGAAAGCUAGAGAGAGCAUGAGUGUGAGUGACUGAGGGCCAGAAAGAGAGGGACACAGAGAAUCUGAAGCAGGCUCCAUGCUGUCAGUGUAAAACCUGACGCGGGGCUUGAACCCAGGACCCACAAGAUCAUGACUGAGCCAAAAUCAGACACUCAACUGACUGAGCCACCCAGGUGCCCUAAGAAAAUUUGAUUUUUCUGAAGGUAAGAGGAAAACAAGCAUGAACACAUUUCUCCUUCCCUAAGAAAAGCAGUAUAAAAGGAAAUAUUUCAGGCUAAAAUGGCUAUUGCCUGGUACUAAAUAUUAGAUGUGAACUGGCCUCCAUCUGUUGGAAUGAGUGACGUGUCAGGCGAAGGAAGGGGAGGGAGGAGUGCUUAUCUGUGGGAAAGGAGAGAAAUUUCCAGUUUCUGGUUACUGGGCUGCCUUACUUAAAACUCUCUUUGAAUAAAUAUUGGCAAGUGGCCCAGAGUCCCAACUUGUGGCUGUUUGAGCUUUGCUAAAGUGCUUGAAGGAAAGUCCUGAAUUGUUGUUCUUAAAUGGAAACUGUAAGUCAUUUGUAGUGGAAAGGAUGACAAAAGAAAAAAAAAUCCCUUCUUACAACAACUUUGAUUCCAGCCAUUCCCCUGAUGAAUUAUUUUGUUUAUUUGUGUACAGGUGUAAUGCAAACCUUUCUGCUUUUUUUCCCCCUAGUGCUUUCCUGAAAGCCACGUCUUCAAACAAAUUGUUGAAAGUAAUUCUUUAUCAGGAACAAAGUUACACUUGGACUUUGUAUUUUUGAUAAAGAAUUCAGCAUAAACAAAGUUCGAUAUAACCAACACCCUAAUCAGUAGUACUAACUUACCUUUGUCUGGCAUUUUAUAAUUUUCUAAAGCACUUUCUUGUAUGUACAUUAAUUUGAUUCUCUGACAAUGCAGAGAGGUAGAUAUUAUUGUCCCUGGUUUAGAAGUGGAUAAAAUGAGACCCAGGAAGAUGAACCAACCUACUCAGGAUCGAUUUAAUUGGUGGUUGAAAGAGGGGGCUAUCCUCCACCACUUCAGUAGGACCAGAGGUACUUUCUGUUGCCCCCAAUGGACAGAAGACAGCUACUAUGUAAAUUAGCACACCCCACCAUCUUGAAGUUAGUGUCAAUUUUUAGUCAGAUCCACACUUGCAUUUCUUUAUAACUUCAAGGCCAAAUAACUCAUCUACACCAUUCAUUCCUGUUCUUAUUACUUACCCUCAAACUCUUUACUCGUACAUAAAUUGCCUAUGCUUCUUUCCCCCAGCUUCUUUCCACCGCUGACCUCUUUGAAACUCUUUCCACUGCAGAAGCCACAGUUUCAUCGUAAGCACUCUCUAUAGCCUCAACAUCCUCACAGAGCCAUACCUUCACUUUCUUGCCUCAAGUGAAACCUGGCUUUUCCCCCAAAGACAUCACUUCCCUUGAGCCCUGACAAACAAAAACUGCUUUUUCCCCUGCCUUUCAACAUGCUGAGAGGUAUGUGGAUGCAGUGUUGAUAUUCUCCUAGCUUCUAGCUGCCAGUUCCAGGUGAUUCCAUUCUUACCUGUAUGAAACUCCCCAGUUUAUGCCCCCUUUUGAGUCUCAUGCUGUAGCAUGAGGUGUAAUCAUCAUCAUCCACCAGCUUAAGGUCACUCCCCCAGAUUCACUGAAAGCUUCAGCACCUGGCCCACACAAAUGCUGCCAGACUCCCACUGUAAUCUCAGCCUUCAUGCCCAUGAUUCACAGCUUCUCAAGCACCUGGAUUCCAUUGCCCUUUGCCUCCAUUUCUCUUUAACACAACUCAUUCCUGUGGCAAAAUCCUAACUUUAUGUUUACUCACAUGCUCUGAAAACCAGAACUCUAGUGACCCUUCACACCUCUGCAACUUUGACACUUUCCUGACUUCUUAGUAAUUUCUGUUCUUGAUCUUUCUUCAAUUCUUUGAGUUGCCCUCCCAUCUUCACUUUCAUCCUUGCCCAGCAUAGACCCCAAAGGCCCAUAAGUUCUCCGAAUGGCUUCUGGGUACCCACCAUGCCCUCCUUCCAUCUUUGCUAUACUCCCAACCAACUCGCUCUCUUCUGUGGUUAUCUGAGUGGUUAAAGGCAUGGGCUGGGGAAGCCUGUUUCUAUCAUUUGAAGACUUUUUCCACCAUGUAAUAAUUCUACCUUGGACAAGUCAUUAAUUUUUCAGGGCUUCCAUUUCCUCAAUUGGGAAAUAGUAGUAUCUUAUCUCCUGACCAUCAUAAAUUAUUGUGAAUAUUAAUUGAGAAUAUAUGUAACAUGCUUAGAAUAGUACCUAUCUCAUAAGUACUCAAUAAAUGUUUAAUAAACUGC